AAUCAACGCUGGCGGCGUGCCUCAGACAUGCAAGUCGAACGCGAAAGUCCCCUUCGGGGACGAGUAGAGUGGCGCACGGGUGAGUAACACGUAGGUAAUCUACCUUUGGGUGGGGAAUAACAGCCGGAAACGGCUGCUAAUACCGCAUAAUGCAGCGGCUCGACAUCGAGACAGUUGUUAAAGCGGGGGAUUCGCAAGAACCUCGCGCCUAAAGAGGAGCCUGCGGCGGAUUAGCUAGUUGGUGAGGUAAUGGCUCACCAAGGCGACGAUCUGUAACCGGCCUGAGAGGGCGGUCGGUCACACUGACACUGACAUACGGGUCAGACUCCUACGGGAGGCAGCAGUCGGGAAUUUUGGGCAAUGGGCGCAAGCC
Molecule: ribosomal RNA, 373 nt
Filed under: uncultured bacterium
Lineage: Bacteria
Description: bacterial SSU rRNA
Rfam family: Bacterial small subunit ribosomal RNA
Source: RNAcentral